ACUCCUGGCUCAUCUUCUCCCUAGGGAAGGGAGUGGAGGCGCUUGAGCUUGAAUUUCUGUGUAGAAGAUAACAUAGACGACGAUCCCCGCUAUGCGUUGCCCUCCAUUCAGCCCCAUCUAUUUCCCAAACUUAGAUCACUGAAAUCGCUCUGUCUUGGUGAUUUACCCACAAGUAAUGAUUCUCUCGAGCAUCUCUUGCUGGCAAGCCAGUUCCUUGAGAGACUGCACCUUCGCAAUUUAACCUCUUUAACCGAGGUCAAUAUCAGCGGCCCCCUGUCAAGGUUGAAAUACAUAGACAUAUUCCAUUGCAAAACUGUGCGGUCGAUCAUGAUAUCGGCCCCGUACGCCUGACCUGUUCUCAUUCACAUACCCGGGUUGGGUGGAAGCCGUGCACGUCGAGCAUGCGCCUCGCUCCAGUCCCUUCACCUUAGCAUGCGGUCUUGGUAUAUGGUUGGCUCCACAUUUCAACUAUUAACUUCAUUAUAUAAUUGGUUGCCUCAUCUUCCGAACCUGAGCGGUCUGAAGCACCUCAAGCUGUCAUUAGAUGGUCUAAGUUUUCUCGAUAAUCAAACUCGUCGAGCACAGAACCUCCGUGGUAUGGUUUCCCUGAUAAAGGCAGCCCCCUGCGUGCAACACCUAAGACUGCUGGUGGCUAUUGUUUAAAAAAAGCUCGAUAAAAGCCACAAGGGCUAUGCUAAAGGAACCAAGGUUAUUGCUGUUGGAUGAGGCAACAAGUGUCCUCGAUAGCCAGUCAGAGAGGGUCGGGCAGGAUGCGCUGGAAGAGCUGAUGAAGGGCAAGACAAUGCCUGUUGACUGCUGGAUUGUUAUAGCUAUGGGCGACGACAAUGUUCAACUUGGCUCAGUGUUCGGAAAUUGGGGUAUGCGGAUCACAUUAAUUAUCGUUUUUGCUGAGAGAUUUGGCUUUCUUUUCCUUCAUAAUUCAGCUCUCGGGAGGACAAAAGCAGCAAGUGGUCAUCGCAAGGGCUAUACUAAAGGAACCAAGGUUAUUGCUGUUAGAUGAACCAAGUGUGGUGGCGGCACACAGACUGAUCACGUAUACAACUGUGACCUGAUCGCUAUGCGGAAUAAUGGUAAGGUAGUGGAGGAAGGCAGCCAUUCCUUGUUGUUAGCAAAGGGCCAACAGGCGCCUGCUAUUCGCUCGUGAACCUCCAGAACACAUACACCUCGGGCACGAACUUGAAUAAUUUCUGAGUUAUAUAUAUAUAUAUAUAUAUCUGAAAGAACUCUGGGUUUUGCACACGAUAGAUUGUUAAUGAAAUUUCCAGGCAAAAAGUUGGUAAUGAAGAAAGAAAAUGGAUGAAAA
Non-coding RNA from Punica granatum (pomegranate), 1324 nucleotides. Lineage: Eukaryota; Viridiplantae; Streptophyta; Magnoliopsida; Myrtales; Lythraceae. The record is from RefSeq and is a predicted model, not a curated record.